UCGAGAAUCUUCGGCAAUGGGCGAAAGCCUGACCGAGCGACGCCGCGUGCGGGAUGAAGGCCCUUGGGUUGUAAACCGCUGUCAGAGGGGAUGAAAUGCCAGAGAGUUCUCUCUUUGGUUUGACAUAGCCUCAGAGGAAGCACGGGCUAAGUUCGUGCCAGCAGCCGCGGUAAUACGAACUGUGCAAACGUUAUUCGGAAUCACUGGGCUUAAAGGGUGCGUAGGCGGCUGUCUAAGCAGGGUGUGAAAGCCCCCGGCUCAACCGGGGAAUUGCGUUCUGAACUGGACGGCUGGAGUGGGAUAGGGGUGUGUGGAACUUCCGGUGGAGCGGUGAAAUGUGUUGAUAUCGGAAGGAACGCCGGUGGCGAAAGCGACACACUGGGUCUCAACUGACGCUGAGGCACGAAAGCCAGGGGAGCGAACGGGAUUAGAUACCCGCGUAGUCC
This 446-nucleotide ribosomal RNA is filed under the name uncultured bacterium. RNAcentral describes it as "bacterial SSU rRNA". It matches the Rfam family "Bacterial small subunit ribosomal RNA", at positions 355 to 796 of the family's 1533-position model. The record is from RNAcentral.